Molecule: ribosomal RNA, 519 nt
Filed under: uncultured bacterium
Lineage: Bacteria
Description: partial 16S ribosomal RNA
Rfam family: Bacterial small subunit ribosomal RNA
Source: RNAcentral
GACGAACGCUGGCGGCGUGCCUAAUACAUGCAAGUCGAGCGAGUCUGCCUUGAAGAUCGGAGUGCUUGCACUCUGUGAAACAAGAUACAGGCUAGCGGCGGACGGGUGAGUAACACGUGGGUAACCUGCCCAAGAGAUCGGGAUAACACCUGGAAACAGAUGCUAAUACCGGAUAACAACAGAUGAUGCCUAUCAACUGUUUAAAAGAUGGUUCUGCUAUCACUCUUGGAUGGACCUGCGGUGCAUUAGCUAGUUGGUAGGGUAACGGCCUACCAAGGCGAUGAUGCAUAGACGAGUUGAGAGACUGAUCGGCCACAUUAGGACUGAGACACGGCCCAAACUCCUACGGGAGGCAGCAGUAGGGAAUCUUCCACAAUGGACGCAAGUCUGAUGGAGCAACGCCGCGUGAGUGAAGAAGGGGUUCGGCUCGUAAAGCUCUGUUGUUGGUGAAGAAGGACAGGGGUAGUAACUGACCUUUGUUUGACGGUAAUCAAUUAGAAAGUCACGGCUAACUACGUG